UCCAUGUUCUUUUAGCCAGUUACCCCUCACCUCAUGAGUAAUCAAGAAAUGCAUCAUUGAGCCCUCAAAUCUUAAACUAUUUAUCAUUCUAAUCCAGUUCCAACACUGUAUUUUUCAGAGCGACAAAGAGGAACUGCAUUGAAGCAAAAAGUGUUAGGACUUUAGAUCAAUAUGAGAAAUUAACAGAAGAAAAAGAAAGAAAAAAGGUAAGUGGUUGUUCUGUUGAAUCCAUCUCU
This 236-nucleotide long non-coding RNA is filed under the name Capsicum annuum. RNAcentral's name for it is "long non-coding RNA (CANN_LNC005063)". The record is from RNAcentral. Lineage: Eukaryota; Viridiplantae; Streptophyta; Magnoliopsida; Solanales; Solanaceae.